Molecule: long non-coding RNA, 981 nt
Organism: Hordeum vulgare subsp. vulgare (domesticated barley)
Lineage: Eukaryota; Viridiplantae; Streptophyta; Magnoliopsida; Poales; Poaceae
Exons: 2
Source: RefSeq, a predicted model, not a curated record
CCACGGAUCACGUGUCGUCACCGUUGGAUUGCUUAGAUCGAACGAUUGUGGUCAUGCAGGUGCCCUAUCCUUAUCUCCUCCCUCUUAACCGCUGCACACCCAACCAUUGAAGCCGCCAAAUGCCACGCCGCUAGCCAGAGGGCCUCAUGUCGCCGCCGCUCACCGAUUUAUCUGUAGGUCGCUGAUGCAACCCUGGCCCCGGGCCAUUCCUUCCUCCCAUCAGGCUCGCGGAGGCCUGAGAAGGCGGCCAUGACGGGCGCGCAGCCGCCGAUGCCAUGGGCAGAUCCAGCCGGGUCUGUCGGCACCCAUCCCUCCCUUCAGCGGCCAUGAAGAACCGAAGAGGCAUGACCAGCGAUGCCAUGGGCUGAUCCAGCCGGGUCAGCCGGGUCAGUGGACCAUGCAGGCCUGCUGCGCUAGGAGCCACCAGUCCUCGUCAUCAACUAGAAUCCACGAGAAAUCGAUCCAUAUAGAUGAACCUAUUGUCGAUAAUGAAGAGUUAGUAAGGUAAGUUUUUGAUUGCAAGAGAAUUGAUGAUGAUUUUUCUUCAUGAUACUUAAUUACUUGGCUUAAUCUUUUGUAAGUUAGAGUCUUUUCUUCCAUAUUCCAAAAUUAUAUUUGUGUACAUUUAAUCACAUAACUGCAAGGUCCAUUUAUCAUUUACAGAUUCAAAAGAAGCAUAACUGAGUGGCAGCUGAAUUCUUCGGUUGGAUGAAGAAGCAAAUAUAAUUAGAAGAUUUAGCUUAGCAGUAACCAUAGUUUACAGUGAUAGAUUGAGAAAUGUAAUACCAUUCAGGAGAUGUUUUUCUUUGGCCGAAUUGAUGCAAAUGUUCUGGUGUAAUAUUCAUCAUAGAUUUGUUCUCUAUUGUGAAAUUGAUACAAAUGCUAUGAUGUUCAUCCAAUAAAAUUAGUAUUUAUGUAUCGUAAUGUAUAUGUAUCCUACACUCUUAUAUAUUCAUAAUAAAUACCUUGAUAUUUUCAAUU